RNAcentral lists this ribosomal RNA (496 nucleotides) under uncultured bacterium. Its description in RNAcentral is "partial 16S ribosomal RNA". It matches the Rfam family "Bacterial small subunit ribosomal RNA", at positions 29 to 507 of the family's 1533-position model. The record is from RNAcentral.
AUGAACGCUGGCGGCGUGCCUAAUCCAUGCCAGUCGCGCGAACAGACGAGGAGCUUGCUCCUUUGACGUUAGCGGCGGACGGGUGAGUAACACGUGGGUAACCUACCUAUAAGACUGGGAUAACUUCGGGAAACCGGAGCUAAUACCGGAUAAUAUUUCGAACCGCAUGGUUCGAUAGUGAAAGAUGGCUUUGCUAUCACUUAUAGAUGGACCUGCGCCGUAUUAGCUAGUUGGUAAGGUAACGGCUUACCAAGGCAACGAUACGUAGCCGACCUGAGAGGGUGAUCGGCCACACUGGAACUGAGACACGGUCCAGACUCCUACGGGAGGCAGCAGUAGGGAAUCUUCCGCAAUGGGCGAAAGCCUGACGGAGCAACGCCGCGUGAGUGAUGAAGGUCUUCGGAUCGUAAAACUCUGUUAUUAGGGAAGAACAAACGUGUAAGUAACUGUGCACGUCUUGACGGUACCUAAUCAGAAAGCCACGGCUAACUACGUG